Molecule: transfer RNA, 67 nt
Filed under: Janira maculosa
Lineage: Eukaryota; Metazoa; Arthropoda; Malacostraca; Isopoda; Janiridae
Description: tRNA-Ala
Source: RNAcentral
AAAAUUUUAGUUUAAAUAAAACAUUUAGUUUGCAACUAAAAAAUAUUUAAAAUAUUAGUAAGUUUAA